GCACAAGCGGCGGAGCAUGCGGAUUAAUUCGAUGCAACGCGAAGAACCUUACCAAGGCUUGACAUACACCGGUAACGCCCAGAGAUGGGUGCCCCUUGUUGGUCGGUGUACAGGUGGUGCAUGGUUGUCGUCAGCUCGUGUCGUGAGAUGUUGGGUUAAGUCCCGCAACGAGCGCAACCCUCGUCCUAUGUUGCCAGCGGGUCAUGCCGGGGACUCAUGGGAGACUGCCGGGGUCAACUCGGAGGAAGGUGGGAUGACGUCAAAUCAUCAUGCCCCUUAUGUCUUGGGCUUCACGCAUGCUACAAUGGCCGGUACAAAGGGCUGCGAUACCGCGAGGUGGAGCGAAUCCCAGAAAGCCGGUCUCAGUUCGGAUUGGGGUCUGCAACUCGACCCCAUGAAGUCGGAGUCGCUAGUAAUCGCAGAUCAGCAACGCUGCGGUGAAUACGUUCCCGGGCCUU
This 458-nucleotide ribosomal RNA is filed under the name uncultured Cellulomonas sp. RNAcentral's name for it is "bacterial SSU rRNA". It matches the Rfam family "Bacterial small subunit ribosomal RNA", at positions 923 to 1382 of the family's 1533-position model. Lineage: Bacteria; Bacillati; Actinomycetota; Actinomycetes; Micrococcales; Cellulomonadaceae. The record is from RNAcentral.